Molecule: RNA transcript, 229 nt
Organism: Manacus vitellinus (golden-collared manakin)
Lineage: Eukaryota; Metazoa; Chordata; Aves; Passeriformes; Pipridae
Exons: 3
Source: RefSeq, a predicted model, not a curated record
UUGCAGGUCUGGAGGGCGAGCGGCCGGCGCGGCUGACGCGGGGCGAGGCUGACCGGGACACGUACCGGCGCAGCGCCGUGCCACCUGGUGCUGACAAGAAGGCUGAGGCUGGUGCUGGAGCAGCCACCGAAUUCCAGUUCAGAGGUGGAUUCGGCCGUGGCCGUGGGCAGCCCCCGCAGUAGAACCCCCUGCUCAUGCUUUGUGUAUAAUAAAAGAGGUGAAAAUGCCA